RNAcentral lists this ribosomal RNA (497 nucleotides) under uncultured bacterium. Its description in RNAcentral is "partial 16S ribosomal RNA". It matches the Rfam family "Bacterial small subunit ribosomal RNA", at positions 28 to 507 of the family's 1533-position model. The record is from RNAcentral.
GAUGAACGCUGGCGGCGUGCCUAAUACAUGCAAGUCGAGCGAACAGAUGAGGAGCUUGCUCCUCUGACGUUAGCGGCGGACGGGUGAGUAACACGUGGAUAACCUACCUAUAAGACUGGGAUAACUUCGGGAAACCGGAGCUAAUACCGGAUAAUAUAUUGAACCGCAUGGUUCAAUAGUGAAAGACGGUUUUGCUGUCACUUAUAGAUGGAUCCGCGCCGCAUUAGCUAGUUGGUAAGGUAACGGCUUACCAAGGCAACGAUGCGUAGCCGACCUGAGAGGGUGAUCGGCCACACUGGAACUGAUACACGGUCCAGACUCCUACGGGAGGCAACAGUAGGGAAUCUUCCGCAAUGGGCGAAAGCCUGACGGAGCAACGCCGCGUGAGUGAUGAAGGUCUUCGGAUCGUAAAACUCUGUUAUUAGGGAAGAACAAAUGUGUAAGUAACUAUGCACGUCUUGACGGUACCUAAUCAGAAAGCCACGGCUAACUACGUG